GGUGAGAUGGCAGAGUGGUAAUGCGUUCCGCUGUAAAUGGAUUAGGUAAAUAUCCUGUCGAGAGUUCAAUUCUUUCUCUCACUA
Molecule: transfer RNA, 84 nt
Filed under: Amphimedon compressa (erect rope sponge)
Lineage: Eukaryota; Metazoa; Porifera; Demospongiae; Haplosclerida; Niphatidae
Description: tRNA-Tyr
Rfam family: tRNA
About the family: Transfer RNA (tRNA) molecules are approximately 80 nucleotides in length. Their secondary structure includes four short double-helical elements and three loops (D, anti-codon, and T loops).
Source: RNAcentral